CCGAAUCGUCGACACGAGUUGUUGCUGGCCCUCAAACCGGGGCAUGUGCACGCUCUGUUUGCAUCCACCCACACCUGUGCACCCUUUGUAGUUCUGCGGUCCGGGGGACCCCCUCUUCCGUCCGCGGUUCUACGUCUUACACACACACUGUAACGCGGUUUUAUGGAAUGUACGCAGCGUUUAACGCAAUACAAUA
This 196-nucleotide unclassified non-coding RNA is filed under the name uncultured Thelephoraceae. Its description in RNAcentral is "sequence contains ITS1". Lineage: Eukaryota; Fungi; Basidiomycota; Agaricomycetes; Thelephorales; Thelephoraceae. The record is from RNAcentral.